GUUCAAAAUAUUUUGACUUUGGGCCAGUGCCUGCGACGUGACGUGAUGGAUACCAAACUGCCUUUGUACUCUAUCUUAUACUCCCAUCUAUUCCUUACGCAACAAAAAAAGAAUCAACAAAAUCGUUUGAUUUUUCCCUGAGAUUCUUCUCACGCCGUUUUUUUCGGAUUUUUGUAACACUGUGAGAUAUUUAAUUUUCAUAU
This is a long non-coding RNA of Bradysia coprophila, 203 nucleotides long. The record is from RefSeq and is a predicted model, not a curated record. Lineage: Eukaryota; Metazoa; Arthropoda; Insecta; Diptera; Sciaridae.